This is a non-coding RNA of Misgurnus anguillicaudatus (oriental weatherfish), 4969 nucleotides long. NCBI's taxonomy places the organism in Eukaryota, Metazoa, Chordata, Actinopteri, Cypriniformes, Cobitidae. The record is from RefSeq and is a predicted model, not a curated record.
AAUGAUUUUAUUAUCAUUUAUAGAUGUGUUUCUUUUUAAUAGAUGUAUUUUUAUUAAGGUUUUCUCUGUAAUAGUAAACAAACUAUGUUUUGCAUUCUUUCUUUUAGCCACAUAGAUAGGAGAAGAGCACAAGCUGUACUUUGUGGUUUUGACACCUCCACCUCCAGUUCAGGGUGGUGGAAAGUUGUUUAUCUGUUUUGAACUCAGCUCUUACCUAUGUCUGGUUUUUUGGAUGUUUUCAGAUGUGUGUGUGUAUGUGUUAAAAAUCCAUGACGUAUGUUGUCUUGCACUUAUCUUUUUUGGGUGUCAACCCAUCUAAUAAAAUGAGCUUGCAGACAAAGAAUCAGAGAGAGACAGCUUGAGCAUUUCUUGAGGAGAAAUCUCUCUGGUUCUUUCCCUCGUGAGUUUUAAACCUUUAUUCUUGGUCUGACGUGUCUUAAUUUUGUUAAGGUAUAAGUUGAAUAAACCUAACAUUUUGGUCCUUCGAGCCGGAUUCCAACAUACCCAGAGAUCUGCAGUGGAGGAGACAAGCCGAAGCCCGACGUCGGCCGAAUUCGUCUAAGAGUUCGAAGCAAAGCCCUGGGAGGUGAGAAUUCCUCGCCAGGCCGGCAUUUAGGUUUCCUCUGCUGAUGAUCCCGGAUUGACGGAAUUCGAAGCAAGACACAAAUCAGGCGCAGUGAAUUGGGUAAGUUGCUUUAUUGGUAUUUUAAUUGGUGGUUAGAGGCCCCAAUAAUCGUGGGUUAGAGGCCCCGGGAACUGUUGAACAGCUGAGGGUUAGAUGCCCAAGAUGCUGAAUUGGUGGUUAGAGUCCCCAAUGUUUCUGGGUUAGAGUCCCAAAUAACAGUCGAACAGCCAGAGGGUUAGAGUCCCCAAGAGCUAAAAUCCCGAAAUUUUUUAUUUUACUGUAGUGAAGUGGUUAUUCUGUUGUUUUUUUUUUUUUUUUUAAGGGAAUCCUGAAGUAUUACCCUGUUGAUAGUAAAUCCUGAAGUAUUUACUGAAUGUUGUAAACCCAGAAGUGUUUACUGAGAAAUUGUUGAGAAUAAACCCUGAAGUGUUUAUUCUACUGUAUUUUUGCUGUGUUUUUGCUGCGUUAUUUGCUGUGUAUAUGUUUGUGAUGUGCUCAGUGUGCUGGAAAUCUAGCAGUGUUAACAAACCAGUUGUACGCUGAAGUAGGCACAUUGAGUGAUUUUUUUUUAUCUCUGAAUAGAAAAUUUUAUUGUUGCAUUGUUGUAUUGCAAUUUGAAUCCCCGGGGAUCGCUAAUUGUAUGUGUUUGAUCGAAUAAUAGGUUAUGAUUCUGAAUAAUUUAGGAUCGCUAAUGAUUUUAGAUUGGGUAAUAAUUUGUGAUUGCUAAGAAUUUAUGAUUGCUAAUAAUUUGUGACUGCGUGGAUCGAGUAAUAAUUUGAGAAAAUUAGAAAUUGUUGUGGAUGUUUUAAGAAUGAUAAAUAAUUAAUAUAGUGUAUACUAAUAUAUAAUAUAUAGUAUAGAAUAUUUCAGAAUGUAAAAUCAGAAUGUGAGGUAUAUGAAGAAGUCCAAAAAGUUUGUUGAAAAUUUAGAGAUGAAAGCAAUGUUUAAAACAGGAAAAGUCAAACCAGAACGAGAAAUAUUAAGUGCAAGAGAAUGGUUUGAAGGAAGUGUUAGAAGACAAGAAGGUAUAAACAGAAAAAAGUAUAGAAUAAUGCAUAAAAGUUUAAAAAUUAUGGUGGUGUGUAGACAGGAAAAUAAUAAAACAACCCCUGUAGUACGCACAACGGCGAUGGAGCCAGAUCCAAUCCCGUCCCCUGAAGCCUUAGCACAUGUUAUAUAUCAAUCACAUGCAGGGGCAAGAGUAGAUUUAGACAAAAUUAUUAAAAGAGCUCCCCAGUAUUAUAAUACCAUAACAGCGUGGCUCAGCAGAAGAGUAACAUGAUCAACACAUUUAAAGAUGUGAGAAAUCUAGAGGAAGCACAAGAUCUUUUGCAAAUAGUUGCAUUAAAAGAGGAAGUUCAGUGGACAAUGAAAGUGAAUGGUGCUUUCGAUAAGAUCAAACAAGAAUUAGUUUCUUCCACUGUGUUUAGCUUUAAUUGAUUGCACUAAACAAUUUGUGCAAAUCGUAGUUGAAAAAUGAAAUUAAUGGCUUCUGUGUUGUUACAAAAGCAUGGCACAAAGUUAGGACCUGUAGAUUUUUAUUCUAAGAAGUUAAAUAUGGUAUGGUAUACCAGCACUACCACCCUGUACAAGCAGUUUGUGAAGCAGCAAUGGGUGUAGAAGUAUCAGCUGAAAUUAUUUUAUUUCACCAUUUGACAUUUUUAAUUACAUGUGUUGUAGAUAUUUUACUUUUAAAAACCUAAACUGAAGUUCUUAUCACAUGGUCGACAUAUGUCUUGUAUGACCGUGCUAAUCUCACAACCACACAUUCCCAUUCAGAGGUGUAAUAUACUAAACCCAGCAAUUGUAGGAGAACCUCGUUGUUGUAUUGAACUAACAGAUCAAUGGGUUUUGGCCAGACCAGAUCUAAAAGACCAACCAUUAGAAAAAGGAGAAGUGUGGUUUGUAGAUGGUUCGUGUUAUAAAGAUAGCGCAGGUAAAACUAUCACAGGAUAUGCUGUGGUUAGCUCAGAUCGAAUUAUAAAAACCAGACAGUUGCUAAAUAAACAUUCAGCACAAGCUGCAGAGAAAUAAUAGCUUUGAAAAGAGCAUGUCUUUUGGAAAAAAGGCCAAUCAUUAACUGUCCAACCAGUUAUAAGAAGCAGCUGUCCAGCAAGGUGACUACAUCUUAAUCAAAGUAAUCAAACGAAAAACUGGUACAGCUCGAAGUGGGAAGGAUCUUAUCAAGUUCUUAUAACCACACCAACAGCAGUAAAGAUUGCAGAAAGACCUUCGUGGAUACAUCUCAGCCACAUCAAGAAACAGUUGGUUUGUUCUGUUCAGGACAGUGAAGUUGUUGUUUAGUUAAUCUAGGUAAGAGAAGUGUUGGUAAGUGAGUGGACCCGGAAGACUGUUUUUGUGACCCCUGUUUAUUUUUCACGGGAGCAAGGGAAGUUUAACCUAGAAGAUAUUGUAGGUAAAAUUAGUUAGCACUGUCCUGUCUACACAGAACAGAAGAAAUGGCUGAUUUUCUGAAAAUAAUCAUUGUGUGUGAUUCUAGCAACCAUGCUGGUGUGUGAGACCCCGCCUGGCUGGAUGAAGCAAGAGAAGCAGGAUGAGCUUAAGAGGAAGGAGAGAGGCAAGUGGCAGCAGAUUAAAGAAGGAAAGUAUCAGAACACCUACGAGAUCAACAUGUGGUAUCGGUAUGCAAAGUACACGGCUUUAAGUAGAAACCACACAAACUGUUAUGUCUGUUGAAAAAAGCCCAAGUCAGGAAUGAAUCUGCAUGUAGUUCCUGAACCCGUGAUAGAUGUUUCUGUCCGGUUUCCUAAAUGUCUGGUAUCAGCUUAUUCACUGCAGUUUCUUAACAUGACUUUGCAAAACCGCCUGCCACCUCCUGUGGAUAUUAAGAAACUGACUUUUAAGAACUUUAUGAGCCUACUGUUUAAUGUUAGUGAUAAAAUGUACGUUCCAGUCCACGUUCCUCCAAGUGCACAAUUUAUUUGUUAUGAGAACACUGUGACUUUGGGAGACGAGAUUUAUCUUGGAAAAGUGCCCAAACAGAACUGUAAGCGCAUAUUCAUGCCUUGUACUAAAAAUCAAACAGGACAUUUUAGACAAUCGAAGCUAACAGAGGAGUUGUAUGUACAAAUUAUUUCAACGCACCCAAUGCCAUGGGAACCACCCCACAGAUGAACUUUGUGUGGUUGUGUGGCUUAGACAUUUAUCAUCAUCUUUCUACUGGGUGGAAGGGCCGGUGUGCCCCGCCCUGCCAACAGAUCACUCUUUCAUCAUCACCGCGAAGGAAGCUCAACAUCGCACCAAACGAGAUCUCUACAAGAAACAGGACUCCCUGUGGGGAGCGGAUGUACCCAACGACCACAAGCUAUGGUCCAACGGUCAGAAAGUUGGACUUGCUCUUUUUCCUUGGCUAGGAACUGGAAAACUUAUGCUGAGAAUGGAAACCAUUGACUGUCGAUUUGAGGUAUUUCUUAAUAGUACCACGGCAGCAUUGAAAGAUAUCAAAGAAGAAUUAACAGCCUAUGUAUGAUGGACAAACGGGCCAUUAACAACCUCACCAUGCUUCGUGAAGCCGUUGAGAAAGACUAUGUUACAGCUAAUGGUGUCUCCAAAUGGUUGUUUGGAGGGUUGUCGGGGAAACGCCUUUUGAAAGUGUGUGUUGUUCCUGAUUUGCAUGUAUCUGAGCUGUGUGUUACCCUGUGUUAUGUAAUUAAUGAGAAAAAUUAUUCAUUCUAUGUUUUCAGACGUGUAUUUUAUGGGAAACUUUGCAGUGAAUGAUGAUUAUGAAGUAUUUUCACGAGUCAAUACUUCAGUUAAAACUGAUACAAUGAUAUAAUGUUUUUGUUUGCUAUGCUAUUAUUUUUUCCUAUUAAAGAUAGUUGAUUAAUAAAGUACAUUAGAAGGUAGCGGGGUGUAACUGAAAAAGAAACAGGAUAAAUGAUAAACAGGAGGGAAUGUUGGAGAAAAUGAUUUUAUUAUCAUUUAUAGAUGUGUUUCUUUUUAAUAGAUGUAUUUUUAUUAAGGUUUUCUCUGUAAUAGUAAACAAACUAUGUUUUGCAUUCUUUCUUUUAGCCACAUAGAUAGGAGAAGAGCACAAGCUGUACUUUGUGGUUUUGACACCUCCACCUCCAGUUCAGGGUGGUGGAAAGUUGUUUAUCUGUUUUGAACUCAGCUCUUACCUAUGUCUGGUUUUUUGGAUGUUUUCAGAUGUGUGUGUGUAUGUGUUAAAAAUCCAUGACGUAUGUUGUCUUGCACUUAUCUUUUUGGGUGUCAACCCAUCUUAUAAAAAGAGCUUGCAGACAAAGAAUCGGAGAGAGACAGCUUGAGCAUUUCUUGAUGAGAAAUCUCUCUGGUUCUUUCCCUCGCGAGUGAUUUAAACCUGAA